This 761-nucleotide ribosomal RNA is filed under the name Prevotella melaninogenica. Its description in RNAcentral is "bacterial SSU rRNA". It matches the Rfam family "Bacterial small subunit ribosomal RNA", at positions 28 to 776 of the family's 1533-position model. The record is from RNAcentral. Lineage: Bacteria; Pseudomonadati; Bacteroidota; Bacteroidia; Bacteroidales; Prevotellaceae.
GAUGAACGCUAGCUACAGGCUUAACACAUGCAAGUCGAGGGGAAACGGCAUUGAGUGCUUGCACUCUUUGGACGUCGACCGGCGCACGGGUGAGUAACGCGUAUCCAACCUUCCCAUUACUGUGGGAUAACCUGCCGAAAGGCAGACUAAUACCGCAUAGUCUUCGAUGACGGCAUCAGAUUUGAAGUAAAGAUUUAUCGGUAAUGGAUGGGGAUGCGUCUGAUUAGCUUGUUGGCGGGGUAACGGCCCACCAAGGCGACGAUCAGUAGGGGUUCUGAGAGGAAGGUCCCCCACAUUGGGACUGAGACACGGUCCAAACUCCUACGGGAGGCAGCAGUGAGGAAUAUUGGUCAAUGGACGGAAGUCUGAACCAGCCAAGUAGCGUGCAGGAUGACGGCCCUAUGGGUUGUAAACUGCUUUUGUAUGGGGAUAAAGUUAGGGACGUGUCCCUAUUUGCAGGUACCAUACGAAUAAGGACCGGCUAAUUCCGUGCCAGCAGCCGCGGUAAUACGGAAGGUCCAGGCGUUAUCCGGAUUUAUUGGGUUUAAAGGGAGCGUAGGCUGGAGAUUAAGUGUGUUGUGAAAUGUAGACGCUCAACGUCUGAAUUGCAGCGCAUACUGGUUUCCUUGAGUACGCACAACGUUGGCGGAAUUCGUCGUGUAGCGGUGAAAUGCUUAGAUAUGACGAAGAACUCCGAUUGCGAAGGCAGCUGACGGGAGCGCAACUGACGCUUAAGCUCGAAGGUGCGGGUAUCAAACAGG